This 72-nucleotide transfer RNA is filed under the name Muntiacus reevesi (Reeves' muntjac). It matches the Rfam family "tRNA". Rfam says of the family: Transfer RNA (tRNA) molecules are approximately 80 nucleotides in length. RNAcentral also lists the same sequence under 1 other name. The record is from Rfam by way of RNAcentral. Lineage: Eukaryota; Metazoa; Chordata; Mammalia; Artiodactyla; Cervidae.
UCCCUGGUGGCUCAGAUGGUAAAGCGUCUGCCUGCAAUGCGGGAGACCGGGGUUCAAUCCCUGGGUUGGGAA